Molecule: microRNA precursor, 102 nt
Filed under: Marmota monax (woodchuck)
Lineage: Eukaryota; Metazoa; Chordata; Mammalia; Rodentia; Sciuridae
Source: RNAcentral
AGGGAAAUUGCUAGAUUGUGUGAUUAUUUUAGUUUUAAUGUUUGAGAAAUAUCCAUAUUGUUUUGAAUAGUGGCUGUACCAUUUUUCCUUCCCACCAGCAGU